RNAcentral lists this ribosomal RNA (253 nucleotides) under uncultured bacterium. RNAcentral describes it as "partial 16S ribosomal RNA". It matches the Rfam family "Bacterial small subunit ribosomal RNA", at positions 524 to 776 of the family's 1533-position model. The record is from RNAcentral.
UACGAAGGGGGCUAGCGUUGCUCGGAAUCACUGGGCGUAAAGCGCACGUAGGCGGACUCUUAAGUCAGGGGUGAAAUCCUGGAGCUCAACUCCAGAACUGCCUUUGAUACUGAGGAUCUUGAGUACGGGAGAGGUGAGUGGAACUGCGAGUGUAGAGGUGAAAUUCGUAGAUAUUCGCAAGAACACCAGUGGCGAAGGCGGCUCACUGGCCCGGUACUGACGCUGAGGUGCGAAAGCGUGGGGAGCAAACAGG